RNAcentral lists this ribosomal RNA (253 nucleotides) under uncultured bacterium. Its description in RNAcentral is "partial 16S ribosomal RNA". It matches the Rfam family "Bacterial small subunit ribosomal RNA", at positions 524 to 776 of the family's 1533-position model. The record is from RNAcentral.
UACGGAGGGGGCGAGCGUUGUCCGGAAUCACUGGGCGUAAAGGGCGCGUAGGUGGCGCGGUCAGUCAACGGUGAAAGUUCGGGGCUCAACCCUGAAUCGGCCGUCGAUACUCCCGGGCUUGAGCACUGUAGAGGCAGAUGGAAUUCCGGGUGUAGCGGUGGAAUGCGUAGAGAUCCGGAAGAACACCGGUGGCGAAGGCGGUCUGCUGGGCAGUAGCUGACACUGAGGCGCGACAGCGUGGGGAGCAAACAGG